GAUGAAGAACGCAGCGAAAUGCGAUACGUAAUGUGAAUUGCAGAAUUCAGUGAAUCAUCGAGUCUUUGAACGCACAUUGCGCCCCCUGGUAUUCCGGGGGGCAUGCCUGUCCGAGCGUCAUUGCUGCCCUCAAGCACGGCUUGUGUGUUGGGCCUCCGUCCUCCUCCCGGGGGACGGGCCCGAAAGGCAGCGGCGGCACCGCGUCCGGUCCUCGAGCGUAUGGGGCUUCGUCACCCGCUCUUGUAGGCCCGGCCGGCGCUUGCCGACACAUCAAUCUUUUUUCCAGGUUGACCUCGGAUCAGGUAGGGAUACCCCCUGAACUUAAGCAUAUCAAUAAGCGGAGGA
This 345-nucleotide unclassified non-coding RNA is filed under the name soil metagenome. RNAcentral describes it as "partial contains 5.8S ribosomal RNA, internal transcribed spacer 2, and large subunit ribosomal RNA". The stretch from base 1 to 120 matches the Rfam family "5.8S ribosomal RNA", at positions 35 to 154 of the family's 154-position model. The record is from RNAcentral.